GGGCUUGUAGCUCAGGUGGAUAGAGCGACUGCCUCCUAAGCAGUAGGCCGCUGGUUCGAGUCCAGCCAAGCCCA
This 74-nucleotide transfer RNA is filed under the name Pseudomonadota bacterium. Its description in RNAcentral is "tRNA-Arg". It matches the Rfam family "tRNA". From Rfam's summary of the family: Transfer RNA (tRNA) molecules are approximately 80 nucleotides in length. Their secondary structure includes four short double-helical elements and three loops (D, anti-codon, and T loops). Lineage: Bacteria; Pseudomonadati; Pseudomonadota. The record is from RNAcentral. RNAcentral also lists the same sequence under 3 other names.